RNAcentral lists this long non-coding RNA (1637 nucleotides) under Lupinus angustifolius (narrow-leaved blue lupine). Its description in RNAcentral is "long non-coding RNA (LANG_LNC003191)". The record is from RNAcentral. Lineage: Eukaryota; Viridiplantae; Streptophyta; Magnoliopsida; Fabales; Fabaceae.
AUGUUCAUAAACAUUAUCUGCCUCAGUGGCUUGUAUAUUAUACAAAAGGAUUAUUACUUGCCAAUUGGUUCAAUGUAUGUGAUUUAAAUCUCACCUAUAUAUGUAACUGAACAAAUCUAACCUAUUUGCCUAUAUACUCAGUUUGUUUUCAGUGAUAAAACUAAUUAUUUGUCCCUCUUAUCAUCUUAUGUAACAUCCUGCUUGUUGACUGAUGAUUUAUUGAAUAUGAUAUUCACCUAAAAAAGUGUUGAUGAUGUCUCUGAUAGUCAUUCCUGCAGAAAGAGUUCAAAGGGUAAGUUUUUUAGACAAUUACAUAUUGGGGCAUAGAUGUAGUAAUAUUGAAACAGCCAAUUUUAGUUCUGAACCAGCAAGGGAUAUCCAUGGGUUAUCAAUCAAAUCAUAAACAAGCCAUAAAGAGCAAAGGCAAUGCAGAAAUCAUAGGUCCUUCAGUUACAAAUCCCUAUCAACAGUCAGGGGCAGCUUUAAGGCCUCACUAAACCAUGGAAAUUUAAAAGAGGCAAAUCUGAAAACCUCACCUUUUCAGUUACAAAUCAAACAUAAUUGGCAGGAAUAAUAGGCAGCAUUGAAGUGGAGUAAUCAAAAUAGAAUAGCCAGAAAACAAAAGGGUAAUCCUACGUUGGAUUUCAAUUGGCAACUCAAGAGGUUUCCAUGAACCCUUAAUCAGUAUAAAAGGGACAAGCACCAAGCAGAUUGCAACGGUGGUAAAAGGGGGGGAGCAUACUUUGCGACAGAAAUCAGAGAGAGAUAGAACAAUCAAAGAAAAAGGCGAUAGAGAACUCAUAUAAACCACACCACAAUCAUAAAAAAAUCAAAGAGAGAAGACAAGAGAACCAGAAAAACACAUAUUGCAACAGGGACUACGAUACCAAAACAUAUACAACAUCACAGUACAUACAGACCACACAAAGACAACAAAGAAAGAAUACUGAUAUCACACCACACACAACAAAUCAGUCAGCAUACAUAAAAGAAGUAAUCAGAGACAUUAGAAGGUGAAGAAUUCGGACGGUUCAUAGCGGGUGCAGGGAACAUCCAGGAACAAGAAUCAUCCAGGAUGACCUUCAAAGGGUAAAAAACCGGGAUACAUAUUCAGGUAAGCAGCAUAUUUCAUUCAUUUACAUAAUUGAAGGCAGUAUGAUUUACCUAGUUUAUGUUCCGAAUAUCAAAAGCAUACGUAGACCCAUUAUUCCAUUGAGAACACCAAAACUGAAUAAAUUACAUCAUGGUUGUUCCAAGUAUGAUUUGUUCUCACCCGAAAAAGUCUUUUUUUUCUUCAUAUGUGUGUCACUGAUUUAUCCAAACCAUAAGGAAUAAAUAGAACGCAAACAGGGAUAGGAAUCGUUACCGAAAUCCCUUGCUUAUGUCGAUUCCAAGCCGAGUGGCCACUUCCACCUUCUAUUAUCCUCACUGUGAAGCACCGCAACCUCAUCCAGAAACCCCACAUACCUGAAAGACAUAGGGGUAGCUCAACACCACCCAAAUCAAUCAUAACCCUGUCGGAAAUAAUUAGCCAAGGAAGACAACCGAAUCCCUACCUUACCCUAAUGACCAUAGUGAGAAUAGGAGCCCAAACCGAGAGCCACCACACAAUAUCGUCUUCAUUCUCUCUUAAUUCA